Molecule: small nucleolar RNA, 122 nt
Organism: Peromyscus maniculatus bairdii (prairie deer mouse)
Lineage: Eukaryota; Metazoa; Chordata; Mammalia; Rodentia; Cricetidae
Gene: SNORD22
Rfam family: Small nucleolar RNA SNORD22
About the family: U22 is a member of the C/D class of snoRNA which contain the C (UGAUGA) and D (CUGA) box motifs. U22 is encoded within the U22 snoRNA host gene (UHG) in mammals and has also been identified in Xenopus.
Source: Ensembl
UCCCAGUGAAGAAUUCUUGCAUUUCAAUUCCCGUUCUAGCCCCAGGGCUUUGUGAAGACAACCGACUGGGGCUGGCGGGAAAAGAGAAGAGUAUUUGUUCCAGAAGGAAUUUCCUGAGGAAU